Molecule: ribosomal RNA, 464 nt
Filed under: uncultured bacterium
Lineage: Bacteria
Description: bacterial SSU rRNA
Rfam family: Bacterial small subunit ribosomal RNA
Source: RNAcentral
CCUACGGGCUGCACCAGUGGGGAAUAUUGCACAAUGGGCGCAAGCCUGAUGCAGCCAUGCCGCGUGUAUGAAGAAGGCCUUCGGGUUGUAAAGUACUUUCAGCGGGGAGGAAGGUAUUGAGGUUAAUAACCUCAGCAAUUGACGUUACCCGCAGAAGAAGCACCGGCUAACCCCGUGCCAGCAGCCGCGGUAAUACGGAGGGUGCAACGUUAAUCGGAAUUACUGGGCGUAAAGCGCACGCAGGCGGUCUGUCAAGUCGGAUGUGAAAUCCCCGGGCUCAACCUGGGAACUGCAUUCGAAACUGGCAGGCUAGAGUCUUGUAGAGGGGGGUAGAAUUCCAGGUGUAGCGGUGAAAUGCGUAGAGAUCUGGAGGAAUACCGGUGGCGAAGGCGGCCCCCUGGACAAAGACUGACGCUCAGGUGCGAAAGCGUGGGGAGCAAACAGGAUUAGAUACCCCAGUAGUC